AACGGCGGCCGUAACUAUAACGGUCCUAAGGUAGCGAAAUUCCUUGUCGGGUAAGUUCCGACCUGCACGAAUGGCAUAACGAUGGCCACACUGUCUCCUCCCGAGACUCAGUGAAGUUGAAAUGUUUGUGAUGAUGCAAUCUACCCGCGGCUAGACGGAAAGACCCCAUGAACCUUUACUGCAGCUUUGCAUUGAACUGUGAACCGAUUUGUGUAGGAUAGGUGGGAGGCAGAGAAGAGGCCACGCCAGUGGUCUUGGAGCCGACCUUGAAAUACCACCCUGAUUUGUUUGCGGUUCUAACCACGGACAGUGAUCCUGUCUUGGGACCGUGCAUGGUAGGCAGUUUGACUGGGGCGGUCUCCUCCUAAAGGGUAACGGAGGAGUACGAAGGUACGCUAGGUACGGUCGGAAAUCGUGCUGAUAGUGCAAUGGCAAAAGCGUGCUUGACUGCGAGAGCAACAACUCGAGCAGAUGCGAAAGCAGGUCAUAGUGAUCCGGUGGCUCUGAAUGGAAGGGCCAUCGCUCAACGGAUAAAAGGUACUCUGGGGAUAACAGGCUGAUACCGCCCAAGAGUUCAUAUCGACGGCGGUGUUUGGCACCUCGAUGUCGGCUCAUCUCAUCCUGGGGCUGUAGUCGGUCCCAAGGGUAUGGCUGUUCGCCAUUUAAAGAGGUACGUGAGCUGGGUUUAAAACGUCGUGAGACAGUUUGGUCCCUAUCUGCCGUGGGCGUUGGAAGAUUGACGGGGGCUGCUCCUAGUACGAGAGGACCGGAGUGGACGCACCUCUGGUGUACCGGUUGUCACGCCAGUGGCAUUGCCGGGUAGCUAAGUGCGGAAGAGAUAACCGCUGAAAGCAUCUAAGCGGGAAACUUGCCUGAAGAUGAGUCUUCCCGGAGGUAAAACCUCCCUCAAGAGUCGUCCGAGACCAGGACGUCGAUAGGUCAGGUGUGUAAGCGCUGUGAGGCGUUGAGCUAACUGAUACUAAUUGCUCGUGAGGCUUGAUCCU
RNAcentral lists this ribosomal RNA (1004 nucleotides) under human gut metagenome. Its description in RNAcentral is "bacterial LSU rRNA". It matches the Rfam family "Bacterial large subunit ribosomal RNA", at positions 1926 to 2925 of the family's 2925-position model. The record is from RNAcentral. RNAcentral also lists the same sequence under 1 other name.